CUCCUUGCCAGCAGCCGCGGUAAUACGGAGGGGGUUAGCGUUGUUCGGAAUUACUGGGCGUAAAGCGCACGUAGGCUGAUUAGUCAGUCAGAGGUGAAAUCCCAGGGCUCAACCCUGGAACUGCCUUUGAUACUGCUAGUCUUGAGUUCGAGAGAGGUAAGUGGAAUUCCGAGUGUAGAGGUGAAAUUCGUAAAUAUUCGGAGGAACACCAGUGGCGAAGGCGGCUUACUGGCUCGAUACUGACGCUUAGGUGCGAAAGUGUGGGGAGCAAACAGGAUUAGAUACCCUGGUAGUCCACACCGUAAACGAUGAAGGCCAGUCGUCGGGUAGCACGCUAUUCGGUGACACACCUAAGGGAUUAAGCUU
RNAcentral lists this ribosomal RNA (366 nucleotides) under uncultured bacterium. RNAcentral describes it as "bacterial SSU rRNA". It matches the Rfam family "Bacterial small subunit ribosomal RNA", at positions 501 to 867 of the family's 1533-position model. The record is from RNAcentral.